Molecule: long non-coding RNA, 1520 nt
Organism: Peromyscus eremicus (cactus mouse)
Lineage: Eukaryota; Metazoa; Chordata; Mammalia; Rodentia; Cricetidae
Exons: 4
Source: RefSeq, a predicted model, not a curated record
GAACAGCUGCUUCUUUUUGGCUUCUGGUGGCAGGGACACCAUGGAGGUAACUGAGGAGAAAGAAACAUCACAAACUGACACAGAAACACUCUCCACAAUGAGAAUACUUUUAUUUCACCUGGCAGCUUCAAGGGUGGGUUGGGUCAAUGUGGAUUUUGCAUCUUGGUAAGGAGCUAUAAAAGACAAAUUCCAACAAGGAAAGGCCAAGUGAGACACAUCUGCUCCUGGCAGGACUGAUUUACUUCAGAGAGGAGGAUGGACGUCAAAGACACUCCAUAUGGAGUUUAUCUUCUUGUUGACAAAAAUAGCCAUUUGGGCAAGAAACUGUUCUUGUUUGGACUGCUUGACAAAAUGUUGUAUUGACUGGACAUGCAGGACCCAUAGGAAGGUGACCAAUGAACUUUGCAAGGCGAGAUGAUCCUUCAGGUUCCUGCUUCUCAGAAGAAACUGCCAGACAUUCUACAGGACACAGAGAGAAGCAACCUAGAGACUCUAGGCCUGUAGGCUGAAGAAUGGAUACCCCAAUGUUGCAGAAGAACUUUGUUUAAUUAUCCAGGUCUCAUCACCAGUAAGAUGAAAAACUCCAACAAAGUAAUCAUGGGAGGCUUUUCCGUUAAGUUGGUGUGAAGGAAAAAACAGAAGGAGGUAAUGGAUUGAGGCAUAUUACCAUCUGCAGAAAACCACUUUGUAAUUGCAGUGCAUCGGUCUCAGGCACCAGACAGAUGCCUUUGUCCAUGAAUGGCCAGGACCCCUACUGAGCACUUCACACUGUGUGAAAGCAGCAGCUUCCUUUGCAAGCCAACCAAGCAGUUCCCUGGCAGUUGCAUCUGAUAAGGAGUGCUUGUCUACUGAAAUCCAUUCUCUGAAGAUUCAACUAUCACAGCUGCUCUUCAGUUCUAUUAUUGCCCCCACAGUGCCUUUGAUCUGAUUUCUAUAGCAUGUUUCUUAUCCCUUACACUUAUCAGCGACACUUCCUGCCUCAAUCUGCUUAAAAUGGUUUCAGGAAAACACCCAACUGCUUCCCCACUUGAUAAAAUGAAAAAUAUUGAUAAUCAUGUAAAACUUAAACAAACAACCUCUUAUGUACCUUAAUGGUUAUGUUGGAUAUAUUUUCAAAUGGGACCUUUUUUGUAGUGAUGGAAUGUGGAUUUAUAGCUUGAUCCAAGGUUUAAGAAUAACAGGUAAUCCCAACUUCUGCUUGUGAAUACUCUCAAUUUGGAAAUAGAGAGCAGAUGUUGACAGAGCUAUAUUUGCCAGUCUGAUUCCUCAGCAAACACUCUGAAGGAAAGACAACACGAGUCUAGACUGAAUAAAUACUCCGCUUAAAUUUAUGUUUUCAAUCCUUUUAGCUGUAUCCCCUAAAGAUGACAUAUGUAUGAUUGAGAAUACAAAGUGAUUUUGUCAUUAAACUCAGCAAAGUCCCCGUACUUUAAUAGCUCAGCUUUGAACAUAACACAUCCACAUUAAAGGGAAUAUUACAGCAUGUUUCAGUUUGAAAUGUAAAUAAGUCUACCACUUUG